Molecule: ribosomal RNA, 620 nt
Filed under: Enterobacter cloacae
Lineage: Bacteria; Pseudomonadati; Pseudomonadota; Gammaproteobacteria; Enterobacterales; Enterobacteriaceae
Description: bacterial SSU rRNA
Rfam family: Bacterial small subunit ribosomal RNA
Source: RNAcentral
UGGCGGCAGGCCUAACACAUGCAAGUCGAACGGUAACAGGAAGCAGCUUGCUGCUUUGCUGACGAGUGGCGGACGGGUGAGUAAUGUCUGGGAAACUGCCUGAUGGAGGGGGAUAACUACUGGAAACGGUAGCUAAUACCGCAUAACGUCGCAAGACCAAAGAGGGGGACCUUCGGGCCUCUUGCCAUCGGAUGUGCCCAGAUGGGAUUAGCUAGUAGGUGGGGUAACGGCUCACCUAGGCGACGAUCCCUAGCUGGUCUGAGAGGAUGACCAGCCACACUGGAACUGAGACACGGUCCAGACUCCUACGGGAGGCAGCAGUGGGGAAUAUUGCACAAUGGGCGCAAGCCUGAUGCAGCCAUGCCGCGUGUAUGAAGAAGGCCUUCGGGUUGUAAAGUACUUUCAGCGGGGAGGAAGGCGAUAAGGUUAAUAACCUUGUCGAUUGACGUUACCCGCAGAAGAAGCACCGGCUAACUCCGUGCCAGCAGCCGCGGUAAUACGGAGGGUGCAAGCGUUAAUCGGAAUUACUGGGCGUAAAGCGCACGCAGGCGGUCUGUCAAGUCGGAUGUGAAAUCCCCGGGCUCAACCUGGGAACUGCAUUCGAAACUGGCAGGCUAGAG